UAAAAUAGAUAAUCUUAAAUUGUUAUUCUUGUGAAACAAUUUAAUUUAUAUGUAUUUUGUUUUAUUUAUAUUUAUACGUAUAUUUGUAACUUUUUUAAAUGUUUCUAAUUUAUUAAUUAAAUUUAUUACGUAAAUUCCUUACCUUGUUUUCCAUAAUCUAGGUAACGCAGUGUUGAUAGAAUAAUCUCAUUAAUGGAAAAUAAUCACAAUUGAUUUACAACAAAAGGUAACAGAAAAUGGCUAUAACUAGCAAUGUGUAAGUAAAAACCGCAAAAGUAGAACUUAUCUUGCGGCCAUGUAACGUAUCCGCGUAAACACACGCACACACAAAGGCACACACACAAAGGCACACACACGCGUAAGGCAUAAAAGAAAACGUAUUCUUCCUUUUGGACAUUGAAACUGAACCUGAGUUAUCGCGAGCAUUUUUGCUUAGCUCGUAGUGGACUCGAAAGUGGCCGUAAAUAAUCGUCAGAAGGACGUAAUAAAUACCGAGAGUUUCAGGGUAAGUAAACUUACGAGGUCGGAUGGUGAACGGAAAUUCCAUGCUCGUCGCUUCCGCCUUCCAUUUCAGCGCCCUUCUCCACUGCUAAAAUGGGAUCCUUCGAUUGGAAAGCUCCGUACGUGCUGCCAUUCCUGACGAAUAAACGUUAAAUACACAUAUUACCGUUGCAACACUCGUUACAUCAUUGCAGAAAAAAAUAUAACACGAAGUAGGAAUUUGAAAAUAAAAUUGUCAAACCAGUCGAUUCGACUUGUGUGGUAGUUCUAGUGUUAAUAAUACCAACGAAUAUUAAGAUAAGCAUUAAAAGUUAGCGAGGAAGUUUCCAUAUUUGAAAACGGUAAUUUGGAAACUCGAUAUCAACGCGAUUAUUAUUAAUCGCAUUAAUAAAUUGUAGUAAUUAUUCCCGUGAAUUCCCUCAGUUAUGUAAAAAAUUCUAUCAAAGAAUUUACAACUCCUAAUAGAGUCGAUGAUACGAAUAGUAUGAAAUGUGAACAAGAGAAAAGUGUAUUCUCCUACAAGAUCCACAGGUAUUUUCAGUUUUAGAAAACUAAAUGAACUUUAAUCGCCGAGAAAUAUACUUUGAUUGAUCGACGUUGAUAAUUUCUUUUCGGCUAUAUUAUAAUAUUAAUAAUCGAUGAUCUUGAAGUUUGAACUUCUGCAACCACUGACACACGUGGUUGCAUUUUAAAAUAUCAGUAUCGCUGAUACCUUUUGCACGAAGCAUUUAAAUCAAGAAUAAAGAGAAGACGAUUUCUACUUCAGCGUUUUAAGUUUAAAAAAAAAGAAAACGGUGUUGAAUAUACGCUUUAUCAGUUGCAAUUAUGUUCACGAUCAUGUUGCGAGUAAUACCGCGAAUAAAAUAAUAAACAACGCGAUGCUCACGUAUUAAAUAUUCCAUGCAACACUAAUCGUGUAAUAUUAAAUGACGUAUCUGACAGCUGUGUCAUGCAUUUCCCAUGCCAAAGCGUUCUAUGACGUGUCAGACACGUCAUUUCACUGUAACCAGUUGAUUACUGUUCUCUUCGUACGAACAAUCCAAUAGAAUCAAGUAUUAUUUACACGAUAAACAUGUUUCAAUUUAAUCGUAGAAAAUUGUAACG
Bombus pascuorum is the source of this 1605-nucleotide long non-coding RNA. RefSeq lists it as uncharacterized. The record is from RefSeq and is a predicted model, not a curated record. Lineage: Eukaryota; Metazoa; Arthropoda; Insecta; Hymenoptera; Apidae. The transcript is spliced from 3 exons.